GGAGGAAAGCAGGGGAUCGCAAGACCUUGCGCUUUUGGAGCGGCCGAUGUCUGAUUAGCUAGUUGGUGGGGUAAAGGCUUACCAAGGCGUCGAUCAGUAGCUGGUCUGAGAGGACGACCAGCCACACUGGGACUGAGACACGGCCCAGACUCCUACGGGAGGCAGCAGUGGGGAAUUUUGGACAAUGGGGGAAACCCUGAUCCAGCCAUGCCGCGUGAGUGAAGAAGGCCUUCGGGUUGUAAAGCUCUUUCAGCCGGAACGAAACGGUCACGGCUAAUACCUGUGAUCACUGACGGUACCGGAAGAAGAAGCACCGGCUAACUACGUGCCAGCAGCCGCGGUAAUACGUAGGGUGCAAGCGUUAAUCGGAAUUACUGGGCGUAAAGCGUGCGCAGGCGGUUUUGUAAGUCAGAUGUGAAAUCCCCGGGCUUAACCUGGGAACUGCGUUUGAAACUACAAAGCUAG
Molecule: ribosomal RNA, 465 nt
Filed under: uncultured beta proteobacterium
Lineage: Bacteria; Pseudomonadati; Pseudomonadota; Betaproteobacteria
Description: bacterial SSU rRNA
Rfam family: Bacterial small subunit ribosomal RNA
Source: RNAcentral